Phyllopteryx taeniolatus (common seadragon) is the source of this 692-nucleotide long non-coding RNA. RefSeq lists it as uncharacterized. The transcript is spliced from 3 exons. Lineage: Eukaryota; Metazoa; Chordata; Actinopteri; Syngnathiformes; Syngnathidae. The record is from RefSeq and is a predicted model, not a curated record.
GGGGGGGGGGGGUGAGAGUUGCACGUCUUCAGUGGAGUACCACGUUGUGCCGGAUCCGCCACGCCGUGCAGCAACUGAGCUCCGCUGAAAGAGAUGCAGUGCCAUUAAGAGAAGAGAAGAAGAAGCAGAGAAGGACCCCCCCCCCCCUACUAGGCGGAGAGAAUAUACGCCUGUGAGUAAUGUCGUACUGAAUGGUUUGGUUUAACAGUUUGGUGUUAAAAUAUGAAAUGUUUAAGUCUCUUUUUGUUGUAUGUGUUGCUGCUCUGUACGUAUCAAAGUAACAGUGGAAGAUGGUUUAUAAUCAAUAAUUGGCCCCAUUAUACAGUAUGCUGGCAUUUACAUGGGGGAAUUUCUUUCGAUAUGAAAUGGCUUGGUUGAACAUUUUGGUCAUGAAUAAUACAAUAUUGACAUCUUAUUUGUUUUACGUGUCAGGUUCACAGUAAACUAAAGCGGGAGCGAGAAAUAAACAGCGGGACGCAAGCGCGCCCUUGCCUCCUAUUCGGAGAAUUGCGCGGCACUGCAUCAAAAAUCGACAUCAAUGUGUAAAGGAUAUCACCGCAUGGGCUCAGGAAUACUUCAGAAAACCAAUGUCAGUAAAUACAGUUCGGCGCUACAUCCCUCAUAUGGUUCAAGCCGCAAUUUACAACUCUCACCGGAGCGGUUGGGAUGAGAAUCAGCACCUCCAAAUCUGA